RNAcentral lists this long non-coding RNA (369 nucleotides) under Chinchilla lanigera (long-tailed chinchilla). Its description in RNAcentral is "lncRNA (ENSCLAG00000025069.1)". Lineage: Eukaryota; Metazoa; Chordata; Mammalia; Rodentia; Chinchillidae. The record is from RNAcentral.
GGCAGGUAAAUGGAUGACUAAGCUAUGAAUCUGAGACUUUUGAGUUGGGGAAAUCAGAAGUGUUGUGUCCCAGGUGAGCGAGAGGACAGCCAGGCAGCAGCUGCCUCAUGGGAAACCCAGAGAGUUCAGAUUGGACAUGAAGAAGUCUUCAAAAGUGCUCAGGACUUUUCCAGGUGUUUCAGAGACCUCAGCGGAGAAGAACCUUUCCUGGCUGCCUUUCAGCGCCGGCUUCCUCCUCUACAAAUAGCGCAUUACUGUGGUAAAAGGCAGCACUUUUACAUCAGCAGUGCUGCCGUCAUCGCCCUGAAUGCCAGCCUUGGGAAUUCUGACCUUUGUGUAGCAAAGCAUGUUCUACCCUUUGGCAGUUAA